UUGUAGCUCAGUUGGUAGAGCCCCGGAUUGUGAUUCCGGUUGUCGUGGGUUCAAGUCCCAUCAG
RNAcentral lists this transfer RNA (64 nucleotides) under Shewanella algae. It matches the Rfam family "tRNA", at positions 6 to 65 of the family's 71-position model. From Rfam's summary of the family: Transfer RNA (tRNA) molecules are approximately 80 nucleotides in length. Their secondary structure includes four short double-helical elements and three loops (D, anti-codon, and T loops). Further hydrogen bonds mediate the characteristic L-shaped molecular structure. tRNAs have two regions of fundamental functional importance: the anti-codon, which is responsible for specific mRNA codon recognition, and the 3' end, to which the tRNAs corresponding amino acid is attached (by aminoacyl-tRNA synthetases). tRNAs cope with the degeneracy of the genetic code in two manners: having more than one tRNA (with a specific anti-codon) for a particular amino acid; and 'wobble' base-pairing, i.e. permitting non-standard base-pairing at the 3rd anti-codon position. The record is from RNAcentral. RNAcentral also lists the same sequence under 7 other names. Lineage: Bacteria; Pseudomonadati; Pseudomonadota; Gammaproteobacteria; Alteromonadales; Shewanellaceae.